This 681-nucleotide ribosomal RNA is filed under the name Propionibacteriaceae bacterium. RNAcentral describes it as "bacterial SSU rRNA". It matches the Rfam family "Bacterial small subunit ribosomal RNA", at positions 1 to 698 of the family's 1533-position model. Lineage: Bacteria; Bacillati; Actinomycetota; Actinomycetes; Propionibacteriales; Propionibacteriaceae. The record is from RNAcentral.
UCAACGGAGAGUUUGAUCCUGGCUCAGGACGAACGCUGGCGGCGUGCUUAACACAUGCAAGUCGAACGGUAAGGCCCUUCGGGGUACACGAGUGGCGAACGGGUGAGUAACACGUGAGUAAUGUGCCCUUGACACUGGGAUAACAGUUAGAAAUAGCUGCUAAUACCGGAUACUCUCCUUGGCAGGCAUCUGCUAAGGAGGAAAGCUCCGACGGUCAAGGAUCUGCUCGCGGCCUAUCAGCUUGUUGGUGAGGUAACGGCUCACCAAGGCUUCGACGGGUAGCCGGCCUGAGAGGGUGACCGGCCACAUUGGGACUGAGAUACGGCCCAGACUCCUACGGGAGGCAGCAGUGGGGAAUAUUGCACAAUGGGCGCAAGCCUGAUGCAGCAACGCCGCGUGUGGGAUGAAGGCCCUCGGGUCGUAAACCACUUUCGCCAGGGACGAAGCGCAAGUGACGGUACCUGGUAAAGAAGCACCGGCUAACUACGUGCCAGCAGCCGCGGUGAUACGUAGGGUGCGAGCGUUGUCCGGAAUUAUUGGGCGUAAAGAGCUUGUAGGCGGUUUGUCACGUCGGGAGUGAAAACUCAGGGCUUAACCCUGAGCCUGCUUUCGAUACGGGCUGACUAGAGGAAGGUAGGGGAGAAUGGAAUUCCCGGUGGAGCGGUGGAAUGCGCAGAUAUC